This is a long non-coding RNA of Gavialis gangeticus (Gharial), 491 nucleotides long. RefSeq lists it as uncharacterized. The record is from RefSeq and is a predicted model, not a curated record. NCBI's taxonomy places the organism in Eukaryota, Metazoa, Chordata, Crocodylia, Gavialidae. The transcript is spliced from 2 exons.
CAGAUGUAUGCAGACUGUUUCCUGCUCCUUGAUGACUAUGACUGGCAGGAAGAACCGUUGGUCACCAUACACUUAGUGCCACUUAGCCCCAUUCCAAGAACUAGCACAGAUAAUGAAGCAGAGGAGGUGGAGGCUCAUGAAGAAACCCAGGCGGCUAAUACAUAAUCUACUGCAACCAAGACUCAAGAACAUGCUGGACCUGCUAGCAUGGGCAGUGGCAGCCAUGGACCUGUUUCUGAAGUGGGUACUUGUAAGUUUUGGGCAGUACGAGUGGUGCCCCACUGUUGCGGGGUCUGUUUCCAUGCCUGCUGGAAUUUUAUGCACUGCAUGGUGGGGGUGAGGAUGUGUACUUUCCUCCUCUUGGGGAGAAGGCAACCAUUGCUUUUUCCUUUGUUUAUCAGACACCAUGACCCAUGGCCACCUGGAGCAGGGCCCCAUGCACACUACAGCAGAGUGCUGCAGAGAUUUUCACAGCAAGCAGAGAUGGUCCC